RNAcentral lists this ribosomal RNA (690 nucleotides) under Escherichia coli. Its description in RNAcentral is "partial 23S ribosomal RNA". It matches the Rfam family "Bacterial large subunit ribosomal RNA", at positions 1 to 688 of the family's 2925-position model. RNAcentral also lists the same sequence under 1 other name. Lineage: Bacteria; Pseudomonadati; Pseudomonadota; Gammaproteobacteria; Enterobacterales; Enterobacteriaceae. The record is from RNAcentral.
GAUUAAGUUAUUAAGGGCGCACGGUGGAUGCCUUGGCACUAGAAGCCGAUGAAGGACGUUACUAACGACGAUAUGCUUUGGGGAGCUGUAAGUAAGCUUUGAUCCAGAGAUUUCCGAAUGGGGAAACCCAGCAUGAGUUAUGUCAUGUUAUCGAUAUGUGAAUACAUAGCAUAUCAGAAGGCACACCCGGAGAACUGAAACAUCUUAGUACCCGGAGGAAGAGAAAGAAAAUUCGAUUCCCUUAGUAGCGGCGAGCGAAACGGGAAGAGCCCAAACCAACAAGCUUGCUUGUUGGGGUUGUAGGACACUCUAUACGGAGUUACAAAGGACGACAUUAGACGAAUCAUCUGGAAAGAUGAAUCAAAGAAGGUAAUAAUCCUGUAGUCGAAAAUGUUGUCUCUCUUGAGUGGAUCCUGAGUACGACGGAGCACGUGAAAUUCCGUCGGAAUCUGGGAGGACCAUCUCCUAAGGCUAAAUACUCUCUAGUGACCGAUAGUGAACCAGUACCGUGAGGGAAAGGUGAAAAGCACCCCGGAAGGGGAGUGAAAUAGAACCUGAAACCGUGUGCUUACAAGUAGUCAGAGCCCGUUAAUGGGUGAUGGCGUGCCUUUUGUAGAAUGAACCGGCGAGUUACGAUUUGAUGCAAGGUUAAGCAGUAAAUGUGGAGCCGUAGCGAAAGCGAGUCUGAAU